This 676-nucleotide ribosomal RNA is filed under the name uncultured bacterium. RNAcentral's name for it is "bacterial SSU rRNA". It matches the Rfam family "Bacterial small subunit ribosomal RNA", at positions 139 to 813 of the family's 1533-position model. The record is from RNAcentral.
GGGGACAACCCGCCGAAAGGCGGGCUAAACCCGCGUACAUGCCACCGGGGCAUCCCGGAGGCAGGAAAGGCUUCGGCCGGACAGGGAUGGGCAUGCGGCGCAUUAGGCAGUAGGCGGGGUAACGGCCCACCUAACCGACGAUGCGUAGGGGUUCUGAGAGGAAGGUCCCCCACACUGGUACUGAGACACGGACCAGACUCCUACGGGAGGCAGCAGUGAGGAAUAUUGGUCAAUGGUCGGGAGACUGAACCAGCCAAGCCGCGUGAGGGAUGAAGGUACAGAGUAUCGUAAACCUUUUUUGUCAGGGAACAAAGGCGGGGACGUGUCCCCGGAUGAGUGUACCUGAAGAAAAAGCAUCGGCUAACUCCGUGCCAGCAGCCGCGGUAAUACGGAGGAUGCGAGCGUUAUCCGGAUUUAUUGGGUUUAAAGGGUGCGCAGGCGGUCUGUUAAGUCAGCGGUCAAAGCCCGGGGCUCAACCCCGGCCCGCCGUUGAAACUGGCAGUCUCGAGUUGGAGAGAAGUAUGCGGAAUGCGCGGUGUAGCGGUGAAAUGCAUAGAUAUCGCGCAGAACUCCGAUUGCGAAGGCAGCAUGCCGGCUCCACACUGACGCUGAGGCACGAAAGCGUGGGUAUCGAACAGGAUUAGAUACCCUGGUAGUCCACGCAGUAAACGAUGAA